CGUCUCUACUAAAAAUACAAAAAAUUAGCUGGGCGUGGUGGUGGGCGCCUGUAAUCCCCGCUACUCAGGAGGCUGAGGUAGGAGAAUUGCUUGAACCUGGGAGGCAGAGGUUGCAGUGAGCCAAGAUCACACCAUUGCACUCCAGUCUGGGUGAUAAGUGAAAUGCCAUCUCUAAAACAAAACAAAAACCUAAUUCCCCAAGAACUGUCACUCUUUCUCCUGUCUGCUAGCUCCCAGGCAGACCCCACUUGCCAGGGCUGUCUACAUUUGUCCUGAGAUCUCUUCUGGUGGGAACAGCAUUUUCUCAGGAAGGUUUGUUGAAAGUCAUCAGAUCCAUGGUUGAAAAUCGAAGCUGCCUGUGGUGAUGGAUAACAGCUGGGGUUACAAAGCAGCAGCUGGGGCAUGAGCUGCCCACAGUGAGUUUUUGUUGUUGUUUUUUUUUUUUGGGUGAGGGAUGGGGUCUUGCUAGGUCUCAAACUCCUGGCCUCAAGUGAUCCUCCCAUUACAGUCUCCUGAGUCACUGACACUACAGGUGUGAGCCACCAUGUCCAGCUUGUAGUGGUUUUGAACAGCUCUUGCCCCUUCUUGGGAAUCUAGGUGCCCUGCACGUGUGUAAGGCUGUCUGCAGCUGUGCCCAUAUUCAGGAAGGCCGGCAAGGCCCUGAGCCCUCACCCGUGACUGACCUGAGGUGCUGUGCAGACAGCACGUGACGGCUAAGGGAAAGUUGAGCACUGCCUAGCCGAGCGCUGAAGCCAUGCCCGGCACACACUCGGCAAAGACUUCAUUUCCAGGCACCUAAGGAACUCUCUGACCAGUCAUUAGCUGACCACUGCCGUAACUGAAGAGAGGCUUCAGUGGCCACACCUCGCAGGCAAUGGAGACAUUAAUGCUUAGUCAGAAUUAGUUCAGGAAAGUCACCCAGCAAAGAAACAGCUCCAACAGGCAACAACAACAACACACCCUGGGCAGGGAAGAGAAUCUGACUUCCGGAGUUGCCACAUUAUCGCCCGUGAAAUGUCCAGGUUUUAACAACAAAUUAUGAGACAUGGAAAGGAACCCGAAAGGACGGCGUAGACACGGGAAAAGCCACCAAUGGGACCAGUACCUGAUGCUGCAAUUGCUAGACAAAAACGUUCAAUCAGCUCAUUUAAAUAUGUUCAAAGACAUAAAACAUGUUGCAUCUAAGGUUGCACCGCCUGGAACCUGCUGAUCUCGGAAGCUAAGCAUGGUCAGGCCUCGCUAGUACUUCAAAGGGAGAAACUACGUGUAGGCCUGGUGCGGUGGCUCACACCUAUAAUCCUAGCACUCUGGGAAGCUGAGGCAGGUGGAUUGCUUGAGCCCAGGAGUUUGAGAGCAGCUUGGGAAAUGUGGUGAGACCCCCAUCUCUACAAAAAAUUUAAAAAAUUAGCUGGCUGCCUAUGGUCCCAGCCUCUCAGGAUGCUGAGGUAGGAGGAUCACUUCAGCCCAGGAAGUUGAGGCUGCAGUGAGCCAUGAUUGCACCACUGCACUCCAGCUUGGGCGACAGAGAGACCCUCUCCCAAGAAAAAGAAAAGAACCAUGUCAAAAGAACUAAGGAAAGUGUGGGAACAAUGUCUUACCAAUUAGAGAAUAUCAAUAAUGAGAUAAACCUUAUAAAAAGGGGCUAGGCAUGGUGGCUCAUGCCUAUAAUCCCAGCACUUUGGGAGGCUGAGGCAGGCAGAUCACGAGGUCAAGAGAUUGAGACCAGCCUGGCCAACAUGGUGAAACCCCACCUCUAUUUAAAAUACAAAAAUUAGCCGAGCAUGGUGGCGCAUGCCUAUAAUCCCAGCUACUCAGGAGGCUGAGGCAGGAGAAUCGCUUGAACCCGGGAGCUGGAGAUUGCAGUAAGCCGAGAUUGCACCACUGCACUACAGCCUGGGCAACAAAGUGAUACUCCAAAAAACAAAAAAAAAACAAAAAGUUGUAAAAAGGAACCAAAUAAAAAUUCUGGAGUUGUAGGGUAAAAUAACUGAAAUGAAAAUUCAUCCCAGGGGCCCAAGAGCAGAUUAGAACAAUUGGAAGAAAGAGCCUGUGACUAUGGAGAGAGGCCACCUGAGGUAGUCCCCUCUGAGGAACAGGAACAAGAAUGAAGAGCAAUGCACAGAGAUCCAGAGACCUGGAGACGCCGUCAAGCUUUCCGACAUACACGCAAUGGGAGUCCCAGGAAAGAAGACAGGGAGAAAGGAGUAAAGGAAUAGUUGAAGAAUUAAUGGCUGAAAACCUCCCACAUUUGAUGAAAAACAUUAAUCUGUACAUCCAAAAAGCUCAACAAACUCCAAGUAGGGUAAACUCAAAGAGAUCUUCAGCCAUACGCAUCAUCAUAAUCACUGUCAAAAGACAGAUUUUUCUUUUUUUAGAAUUUUAAAUGUACCUUUUAAUUUGCUCCUGGGGCAAAGAGCCAGGAUUGGUACUAGAGCAGUGUCUGGGAUGAAAAGAAUUUAAUAAAAUGGGAUUAGGUCCAACGGUUGGGUUAGGGGAGGCAACCUGCUCGGGAGGAUCAGCCUCAACCUAUCCAUGCAGCAGGGCCUCCACCUGUCCCUCUCCGUAGUCCCACACCUGGAACCCAGAACCAUCUGCUGCUCCCCAGAUCAUGGCCGACAGCACUCUGCCAGACUGCGGCUGGAGCAGGCACAGGAUUCACUUAUUGAGGGCUGUGGCCUGGCCCAGUUCAUAGCCUAUACCCAGGGACAGUUGUGUCACUCCUGCCACGACCACAUCUGCCUUCUGCAGCCACGUCAAGUACCACUCAUGGAUGAGCCUGUCACCCCCAGCGGACUUAUCAACCCCGCGUCCAGCUCCACAGCUGCCAAGUGCUCGGUGAGCACUGGCUCCAAGCAUGGCAGCCGCCACACGAUCCACCUGUACAGGGCCCGGUCCUCCUGUCCUCAGUGGAUGACCCCAUAGAAGUCCAGGGCCCGGCGGCUGCCCUCCCACAAAAGACAGGAUUUUGAAAGCAGCAAGAGAGAAGAGACAUAUCAGGUAGUCACAGUGGCUCAGGCCUCCCAGCACUUUGGGAGGCCCAGGUGGGAGGAUCGCUUCACCCCAGGAGUUCAAGACCAACCUGGACAGUUUGGAAGAACCCAGUCUCUACAAAAAAUACAAAAUUAGCUGGGGCUGGGUGCGGUGGUUCAUGCCUAUAAUCCCAGCACUUUGGGAGGCUGAAUCACCUGAAGUCAGGCAUUCAACACUAGCCUGGCCAACAUGGUGAAACCGUAUCUCUACUGAAAAUACAAAAAGCCAGACGUGGUGGCACACACCUGUAAUUCCAGCUACUUAGGAGGCUGAGGCAGGAGAAUUGCUUGAAGCCUAGAGGUGGAGGUUGUAGUGAGCAGAGGUUGCAUCAUUGCACAAUGGAGGGGAGCCGCCAGCCUGGGCAACAACAGCAAAUCUCCGGCUCCCAAAAAAAAAAAAAAAAAAAAAA
Pongo abelii (Sumatran orangutan) is the source of this 3439-nucleotide long non-coding RNA. Lineage: Eukaryota; Metazoa; Chordata; Mammalia; Primates; Hominidae. The record is from Ensembl.